CUUAUCACUUGUUUCUUUUUAAUUUAUUUAAUACACUUCCUGAAACAUCAAAAUACCCAGUAAAGGAGAAAGAACCAGUAACUUAUAUUUAAGUACCGUANGGGAAUACAAAAAAUAAAAUAAAGUAGUUUUACAGGCGUACUUUUUGUAUCACGAUUUAGCAAGAAUUUAUCAGAACUCUGUUUUCUCGAAAGCUAGUGAGCUAUUUUCUUCAGGUUAUUAGUACCUCUGUUCUAAAUGUAGCAAAAUUUAAACAAUAGAAGAAAAUAGAGAUAAGAUUUCAUUCGCACUAGCGAUAGCUAGUUUCUUUGGAAAGAUAUAAAAGUGUCGGGGAACCAGUAGUAUUUUGAUAUAUAGCAUUAAAUAACUCAUUUUUCCACUAAGUUUUUCGAGGAUAAGCUCGAAAAAAAAUUAAGAUAUCUAUAAGCUUAGUUUGUUGUGUAGGCUUAAGAUUAGCCAUCACAGAGUUUGUUACAAAACAACCAUAAAAAAGCACAAAAUUAAUCUAGUUUUAUCUAAUUUCCUACAAAGAUAAAAGCUUUAAUCCUUAAAAGCUUUAUACCUAUGCUAAAAUGAGUAUUAUAACCAGUCUAGAAGAAAAAGUUAUCUAUUAUUUUUUAUUUAAAAAACACUUUCAGGACUAAAUAGUAGGAAGGAACUCGGCAAAUUAAGUUGCUUCGCCUGUUUAUCAAAAACAUGGCUCUUUGAAUAAUUAAGUAUAAAGAGUCGAGCCUGCCCAGUGAAUUUUUAACGGCCGCGGUACUCUGACCGUGCAAAGGUAGCAUAAUCAUUUGCCUUAUAAUUGAAGGCUAGUAUGAAUGGUUUGACGAGAGCAACACUGUCUCCUUAUUACUUUUUAGAACUUAACUUUUAGGUGAAGAGGCCUAAAUCUUAUUGAAGGACAAGAAGACCCCGUCGAGCUUAAAAGACAUUGUAGAAGUUGAUAUAAUUCUAAAUAAAUAUUCUAUUAAGCUUUUUAGUUGGGGCGACUAAGGAACAAAAGAAGCUUCUUAACUAAUAAUAUACAGUCAUGUAAAGAUCCGAUACAGCCGAUCAAAGAAAUUAGUUACCGCGGGGAUAACAGCAUAAUCUUUCUUGAGAGACCUAAUCGAAAGAGGGGGUUGUGACCUCGAUGUUGGCCUAGAAUAUCCUAAAGAUGCAGAAGUCUUUGAGGGUUGGUCUGUUCGCCCAUUAAAAUUCUACAUGAUCUGAGUG
RNAcentral lists this ribosomal RNA (1215 nucleotides) under Melanopsis praemorsa. RNAcentral describes it as "partial 16S ribosomal RNA". It matches the Rfam family "Bacterial large subunit ribosomal RNA", at positions 563 to 2611 of the family's 2925-position model. The record is from RNAcentral. Lineage: Eukaryota; Metazoa; Mollusca; Gastropoda; Melanopsidae.